GACGAACGCUGGCGGCGUGCCUAAUACAUGCAAGUAGAACGCUGAAGGAGGAGCUUGCUUCUCCGGAUGAGUUGCGAACGGGUGAGUAACGCGUAGGUAACCUGCCUGGUAGCGGGGGAUAACUAUUGGAAACGAUAGCUAAUACCGCAUAACAGUAGAUAUCGCAUGAUAUCUGCUUGAAAGGUGCAAUUGCAUCACUACCAGAUGGACCUGCGUUGUAUUAGCUAGUUGGUGAGGUAACGGCUCACCAAGGCGACGAUACAUAGCCGACCUGAGAGGGUGAUCGGCCACACUGGGACUGAGACACGGCCCAGACUCCUACGGGAGGCAGCAGUAGGGAAUCUUCGGCAAUGGACGGAAGUCUGACCGAGCAACGCCGCGUGAGUGAAGAAGGGUUUCGGAUCGUAAAACUCUGUUGUAAGAGAAGAACGAGUGUGAGAGUGGAAAGUUCACACUGUGACGGUAUCUUACCAGAAAGGGACGGCUAACUACGUG
This 495-nucleotide ribosomal RNA is filed under the name uncultured bacterium. RNAcentral describes it as "partial 16S ribosomal RNA". It matches the Rfam family "Bacterial small subunit ribosomal RNA", at positions 28 to 507 of the family's 1533-position model. The record is from RNAcentral.